Molecule: transfer RNA, 69 nt
Filed under: Ictidomys tridecemlineatus (thirteen-lined ground squirrel)
Lineage: Eukaryota; Metazoa; Chordata; Mammalia; Rodentia; Sciuridae
Description: Spermophilus tridecemlineatus (thirteen-lined ground squirrel) tRNA
Rfam family: tRNA
About the family: Transfer RNA (tRNA) molecules are approximately 80 nucleotides in length.
Source: Rfam by way of RNAcentral
GGGGUUGUGGCUCAGUGGUGGAGCGCUCACCUCACAUGUGUGGGGCACUGGGUUCGAUCCUCAGCACCA